UUGCUUCAGCAGCACAUAUACUAAAAUUGGAACGAUAUAGAGAAGAUUAGCAGGGCCCUUUGAGCAAGAAUGACAUGCAAAUUUGUGAAGCGUUACAUAUUUUU
Myotis daubentonii (Daubenton's bat) is the source of this 104-nucleotide small nuclear RNA. NCBI's taxonomy places the organism in Eukaryota, Metazoa, Chordata, Mammalia, Chiroptera, Vespertilionidae. The record is from RefSeq and is a predicted model, not a curated record.